Molecule: ribosomal RNA, 175 nt
Filed under: uncultured bacterium
Lineage: Bacteria
Description: partial 16S ribosomal RNA
Rfam family: Bacterial small subunit ribosomal RNA
Source: RNAcentral
ACGGAGUUGCUAGUAAUCGCGAAUCAGCAUGUCGCGGUGAAUGCGUUCCCGGGCCUUGUACACACCGCCCGUCACACCAUGGGAGUUGGGAGCGCCCGAAGCCGGUGGCUUAACCGCAAGGAGAGAGCCGUCUAAGGUGAGACCGAUGACUGGGGUGAAGUCGUAACAAGGUAGC